This 483-nucleotide ribosomal RNA is filed under the name uncultured microorganism. RNAcentral's name for it is "bacterial SSU rRNA". It matches the Rfam family "Bacterial small subunit ribosomal RNA", at positions 30 to 508 of the family's 1533-position model. The record is from RNAcentral.
AUUGAACGCUGGCGGCAUGCCUUACACAUGCAAGUCGAACGGUAACAGGUCUUCGGACGCUGACGAGUGGCGAACGGGUGAGUAAUACAUCGGAACGUGCCCGAUCGUGGGGGAUAACGAGGCGAAAGCUUUGCUAAUACCGCAUACGAUCUACGGAUGAAAGCGGGGGAUCUUCGGACCUCGCGCGGACGGAGCGGCCGAUGGCAGAUUAGGUAGUUGGUGGGAUAAAAGCUUACCAAGCCGACGAUCUGUAGCUGGUCUGAGAGGAUGAUCAGCCACACUGGGACUGAGACACGGCCCAGACUCCUACGGGAGGCAGCAGUGGGGAAUUUUGGACAAUGGGCGAAAGCCUGAUCCAGCCAUGCCGCGUGCAGGAUGAAGGCCUUCGGGUUGUAAACUGCUUUUGUACGGAACGAAAAGCCUCUUUCUAAUAAAGAGGGGUCAUGACGGUACCGUAAGAAUAAGCACCGGCUAACUACGUGC